AGAAAUACGUAUAUUAUAAGCAAAGUUUCAUUGCUGCUGACAUGAUGGUGCUGAAGCACAACAAAACUACUGGAAAAAGGAGGCAGAAUUCGUCUUUGCAGGACACCAAAUGAGAAGCAUGUUUAAACAACUGUUUCCACCAUUCCCUAACAAAAUGUUCUCUUAUGAUACACCACUUGCAAAAUGAUACUCUGAAAGGCCUGGAAACUCCCCUGCAAGAAAAGUUAGUUUUGUUUCUUCUUGAUGUGUUGUUUGUUUUUUUUUUUUAAUUUUGUGGGAUUGUGCAGUUUGUU
Long non-coding RNA from Pipra filicauda (Wire-tailed manakin), 293 nucleotides. RefSeq lists it as uncharacterized. The transcript has 3 exons. Lineage: Eukaryota; Metazoa; Chordata; Aves; Passeriformes; Pipridae. The record is from RefSeq and is a predicted model, not a curated record.